GAUGAACGCUGGCGGCGUGCCUAAUACAUGCAAGUCGAGCGAACAGACGAGGAGCUUGCUCCUCUGACGUUAGCGGCGGACGGGUGAGUAACACGUGGAUAACCUACCUAUAAGACUGGGAUAACUUCGGGAAACCGGAGCUAAUACCGGAUAAUAUAUUGAACCGCAUGGUUCAAUAGUGAAAGACGGUUUUGCUGUCACUUAUAGAUGGUUCCGGGCGGCAUUAGCUAGUUGGGAAGUUAACGGCCUAUCAAGGCAACGAUGCGUAGCCGACGUGAGAGGGUGGUCGGCCACACUGGAACGGGGACACGGUCCAGAGUCCUACGGGAGGCAGCAGUAGGGAAUCGUACGCAAUGGGCGAAAGCCUUGCGGAGCAACGCCGCGUGAGUGAUGAAAGUCUUCCGAUCGUAAAGCUCUGUUAUUAGGGAAGAACAAAUGUGUAAGUAACUGUGCACGUCUUGACGGUACCUAAUAAGAAAGCCACGGCUAACUACGUG
RNAcentral lists this ribosomal RNA (497 nucleotides) under uncultured bacterium. Its description in RNAcentral is "partial 16S ribosomal RNA". It matches the Rfam family "Bacterial small subunit ribosomal RNA", at positions 28 to 507 of the family's 1533-position model. The record is from RNAcentral.